UAACCAAACCUUUUUUGAAACUGACCAGAGUUAUGAAAUUUAAACAUAAUGACUGCUUAUAAACUCUACAGUGCUUACAUGUGGAAGCAGUCCUUAAAAGUUUUUACCUAAAUUUUGAAUUAAGGGUGGACACUUAUGUGCCCUAGUGUAGAAGCAAUAUUUUUUUUUACUACCAGCAAAAUUUCAGUCAUUUUUACAAAUAUUAAUGUACUUUAAAUUGUAUACUGAUUGUUGUAUGUCCACAUAAAGGCUAAAUGUUACUGUAUGUUUAAUGUAAGAUGACUAUCCUGGAAAAUUCAAGUACGACUUUGGCUUACUUAAUUCCUCCUUAGUCAAAUCAAAGAACUUAGUGGUAGUGCUGUUAUAUUCCAACUAUCAGUGAAGGGAAGAACGGUUUUCAAUGUGACUAGAUUUUGCUGUUGUUAUAAUCACUAUUUAUGAAUCAAAAGGCAGAAUAAUUUAAGACCUAAUAGGCAAGUAGUUGCAGAUCUAAAAUUUAUAAGCUCAAAACUUGUAGCACUUUUUAUAUUGUAUGUUCUAAACUUCAUUUAAGGUAGCUUACAUAUUGAAUUUAUAUAACCAUAAAUGUAACCAUGAAGUUAAAAUGCCUUUUAGAGUCUUUCCCAUUGAAAUAAUUAUUUCACUAUACAAACUAAUGAUGUACCACAGUAGCGAUAAUUCUAUAUACAGUUCAUUUAUAGUUUAUGAUUGUGUCAUCAUGCUUUUGUGUUUUUGACUUUUUAAAAGAAUAGGUUAAAAAUCUGAACAAUCAUAAACAACACAAAGUGGCAGUCUUCAGCUACUUAACAGCAUUUAAACUAAAUGUAUUAAUUAAGGGAUUAUGUCCAUGGAGAAAAGUCUUUUUGAGUCAGUUUUACAGAAGCCAUUUUGAAAACACUAUAUAUCACCAUGUUAAUUUGAUGAUAGUAUCUAAAGUGACCUUUAUCCUGAUCUUGAAAAUAUCAAAUCCAAAAGAGAAAAUACUUUAAAGGAAAUUCAGUUGUAAUACAUGCAAUACAUUUUAGAAAUUUAUGUUCGAACAGAGUCACUUAAGAGUAGCUGCCAUACUUCUUCAGUUUAUACACACUAAAUUUAUAUUUCUUAACCACCAUUCUAUAAUAACGUUUUUUAAUCACCCAUAUUAUCCAUAUGACAGACUAUUAAGCUAUUAGUAUUAUGAUAGAGCAGUCCAGUCUGACAUCAUGUAAAAGUCAACUGCAAAUCUGAUUACUAAAUUCUUCCUUGAAAAUUUGCUGUGUUGUUAUAUUUUUUUAAAGUACAUUCUUGAAAACUAUGUUCUUGGUUUUUUAGAUAUCAUGUAAGAACAAUAUGUAGUGACAGUCAUUAUAUGAACAGUAGUUGAACUCAAAUUGUAUUUUUCUUCAUAUGAGUAUUAUGUGUUUGUAGCUUAAGGCUUAAUUUAAUUUGCAAAUAAAAUAUUCCAUUAACAU
Molecule: long non-coding RNA, 1451 nt
Filed under: Bos taurus (domestic cattle)
Lineage: Eukaryota; Metazoa; Chordata; Mammalia; Artiodactyla; Bovidae
Description: long non-coding RNA NONBTAT025513
Source: RNAcentral